This is a long non-coding RNA of Mus musculus (house mouse), 743 nucleotides long. RefSeq annotates it as predicted gene, 32850. Lineage: Eukaryota; Metazoa; Chordata; Mammalia; Rodentia; Muridae. The transcript is spliced from 4 exons. The record is from RefSeq and is a predicted model, not a curated record.
UAUCAACUCCGUAGUUCUCUUAAGGAUCCGUGGUUCCCAUAGUGAUUAGGCGCACAUUCCGGUGGGAGUGACCGGAAACACUUGCUGUGAACUCCCUGCCUGCAGGUCUCUAUGGGAACUCCACCCUCAGCCUACCGUCAGUCACCAGGGCAAUGCAGAAGAAAACUUCAAGUUUCAUCUCAUGUCUAAGUCUCCGCUCCAGUCAGAAUGGCCAUCCAGCGCAAUACAAAUGACAGCAGAUGCCAGCGUGGGUGUGAGGAAUGGGGAGUCACUAUCACUGUUGGUAGGAAUGUAAACUAGUGUAGCCAUGUUGGAAUCAGUCUACACAUUUCUCAGAAACCUCCCGCUGGCUGGCUUUGUGGUGCUGGGAGGUGCAGGAGACGCAUUAGGACCAAUGGUGUCAGCCAGGGUUGGACCCUGCAAGCUAGUUACACCCACCACCUGCCAGUUUUCAUAUGGUCUGCUCAGCACUCCAUUUCCAUGGCCAUGGCUCUGCCUGCAUCUCUGGAGACCUGUUCCUGCCAGGGCCAACCAGACCACCACAGACACCAGUGAUCACGAGGUAAGGCCCCUAUCUCCAAUCCCCUGUCUGUUGCUUCCUCUGGGCAAACCCAACAAUGGCAAGCUCUGCCCUGCCUCUACUGCACUCCAUUGCUGCCACAACUCCACCUACAUCCAUGGAGGCCUGCUGCUGCCCACUCAGGACAAACAAAGGCCUGCAACCACCAGGGACAACCAGAUCU